Molecule: long non-coding RNA, 2767 nt
Filed under: Sus scrofa (pig)
Lineage: Eukaryota; Metazoa; Chordata; Mammalia; Artiodactyla; Suidae
Description: lncRNA (ENSSSCG00040052267.1)
Source: RNAcentral
AUUCAAUUUCUAGCAUUAAAUCAAUCACAGACCAGCAGCUCCUCGAAUUCAAGGGAGACCUGGUGUCCUUGAACUCGGACCCUGCAGGACCUCACAAGCACCUGCUCUGUGUCUUCUCUGCAGCCACCCCACAGGAACCGGGACAAUUAGCCAGGAUGGAUGUGCUGAGGGGAAGGGAAAACUCCAGACCUUCGGGGAAGCUUGAUCCUGAGGUUCACACUCGUCCCUGCAGACGUGGUGCCACUUUGGUCCACAAGUCAGCGCGGGAGAACCUGCUCUUCUCAGCCCCUCCAGGGCACCGGGCUGGUCCAUCGCCUUGAUGACCACGGGCAGAGCACCAAUCCAACGUACAGCGGUCAACCCUGUCAUCUUUGCCAAGUCUAAUUCGGGCGACGGAAAGACCAGCUUCAUUGGACUGAUUCGGUUACACGAAACAGAAGCCCAUUCCAGCCAGUCGAAGCAAGAAGCGUAACUCAAUACGAGGCGUCAGGACUGUCUCCUGGGUCUCAAGGACAGGCCAGCCGCGUAAGGACAUCCCUCCCGGGGCGGAGGCCCUCCCGGAGCGCCUGGCUUUCCCCACCCCGCCUCUGUGCUUCGCUCAGAACCCUGGCUUCCUCCCUCUCUCUCAGCCCUGUGUCCCAAACAGGUCUCCUCGGCACAUCUGUUACCUGACCUGAGCUCCCAGGCAGGUCUCCUCGGCACAUCUGUUACCUGACCUGAGCCGAACUCAACGGACGAGGCUCCCCUUCUCCUAAUUCCAAAGUUCAGGGAGUUCCCACUGUGGCUCAGUGGUAACGAAGCCAACUAGUAUGGGUGAGGACGCGGGUUCCAUCCCUGGCCUCACGCCAUGGGUUAAGGAUUCAGCAGUGUUGUAGUUGUGGUGUAGGCCCGCAGCUAUGGCUCUGAUUUGACCCUUAGCCUGGAACUUCCAUAGGCUGAGGGGGCAGUCCUACAAAGCAAAGCAAAAAACAAGAAACAAAAAAAAACCCCAAACCAGAAAAACCGCCAAAGUUCAAGACUCCGACGGGCCCCACCUGGCCUCUGGGCUGAUCCCCUGAAGCGGCUGCCCGCCUCCGUCCAGUCGGCUGCUCAAGGGGGAGGGACUGCAGAGGACAAAGAUGGGCCCCCUGGGUCGGGACCCAACAGGGGCUUGUGGGUUGAGCAGGUCCCCUCAGAGGAACCUGCUUCCCUCUUGCCUGCCCUGAGGACUGGGAGGAGGCCAGCUGGGUCACUUUUCUGCCCAGUCAUUCCUCGGCACCAACCUUCUUCAGGGGUAAAGUCCCUCCCUCUGGAACCUCAGAGCCUGGGGAAACUCCCGAAAAUUUUGGAAGAGGCUACUGAAGAGUGAGUGGCUCAUGCUCUGGGGGCUGAUUAAGGUUCCCGGGGACGCGCCUAUUUUUCUGGGUCCCUGAAAGUGGUUUACAGACCCGUCCCGAGGGAUUUCCUGUCUGGCCUCCCGAGUCGUGGCUCCGCCUUGCAAACAGGACGGAUCAACCUGCUGCCUUUGAGCAGCUGCCUCUCCCGCUGAUCCCAUCUGAUCCUGAGUCUUCCUCUGAGCCUUGACUCCUAGAAUGUCAGCGCUGGGAGAUCACCGCCUCGCACAGCUUUCUCCCUCUGGACGGUCGAGGAAACUGAGAGGCGGACGGGAGAAAUCCCCGAGGGUGAGAGGGGGAGGAUUUAGGUCACGUGGUCAAACAUGUUGUUAGCCAAGCUAUUUUCUUUUCUUUUUUUCUUUUUUCCUCCUUUUGUUUUUAUGGCUGUCCUGAGGUGUAUUGAAUUCACAGGCCAGGGACCCGACGUGAGCUGCCGUUGCGACCUAUGCUCCAGCUGUAGCAACACCGGAUCCUUAACCUACUGUGCCGAGCUGGGUGUCGAACCUGUAUCUCAGAGCUCCAGAGAGGCUGCCACAGUGGGAGCUCCUGGUCAGUAAAUUCUGGCCUCAAGGCAACGAAGUCUCCCUGAUAAGCAGCUGCAUCCAGUAAACACCUGCAGAAGCCCUACUACCCUCCUGGCAUCUGCUUGGCACGUGGGCAGACAGAGGGAUUGGACUCCAUGCCUGGAAUAACCUGAUCCGCUGGGGUGGGGAGAAGCACGCCUAACAUGUAAUUACAGCCAGGCGACAGGGACAGCCCCCGCCAGAUCUGGGAUCCCCAGAGUGUGUCAGUGCAGGGAGAGGGCUGCGGUGAGAUCGCAGGGCUGCGCCCAGAGACGAGUGGCCCUUGAAGGUAAGCGCGGCCUGGGCUUCCUCCAUUCCCACAGCAAACCCGGUGACCGUGGGUUUUGGAAUCAAACAGGUCCAGGUUCAGAUCCCUGAGCAACUAGAGCAGGUGGCUUCACUUUGCGGGUCUCGGAUUUCUUCUUUAUCAAAACAAGAUAACUGGGAGUUCCUGCUCAGCAGGUUAUGAAUCCGACUGGUAUCCAUAGGAUGUGGGUUCGAUCCCUGGCCUCACUCAGGGGGUUAAGGAUCCAGAGUUGCUGUGAGCUGCAGUGUAGGUCACGAUGUGACUCAGAUAGCACUUUGCAGGGGCUGUAGCAUAGACCAGCAGCUGCAGCUCUGAUUCAACCCAUAGCCUGGGGGGUAUGCCUCAGGUUCAGCCCUUAAAAAAACAAACAGUCAAACGAAAAGACCAAAGAAAAAGGAUGAUGUGGGAGUUGCCUCAUAGUCAGGGGGUUAGAAAUUGGCGGUUUCACUGCCGAGGCCUGGGUUCAAUCCCUGGCCUGGGAACCGAGAUCCCAUAUCAAGCCACUGCAUCACUGCCACACGAUG